This is a long non-coding RNA of Cervus elaphus (red deer), 1163 nucleotides long. RefSeq lists it as uncharacterized. The record is from RefSeq and is a predicted model, not a curated record. Lineage: Eukaryota; Metazoa; Chordata; Mammalia; Artiodactyla; Cervidae. The transcript is spliced from 5 exons.
AUCUCCAAACACUUUACCCUAGGGCUGUCCAUCUUCCCCUUGCCUCAGGAGGAUCUGUUAGAGUGCUGAGCAUACAGUCAGCAGAAGCCUGAUGGGCCUCCAGGAGACUGCUGGUGAAGUUUAAAGCGACUUGUGAUUACUCCAACCAAUAGAGUGUUGCCGGUAACAGCAUGUGACUUCUGAGGCGGAUUCUUUAUCAGCUGAGCUACCAGGGAAGCCCAAUACGAUGCACUGCUCCUAUCCAUUCAUGGGAUUCCCACGAAUACUUCCUGUGGGAGAAGAUUCCUUGGCAUUUGUGGUGUGGCGAUUAAGAGAUUGGACUUUAGAGUCAGAAAGACCAUGGACUGUGACUUGGACUUGUGUUCAUGAUUCUUCUUCCAAGGCCUUGGAAUCCUACUCUGGAUCACAAUUGUGAAGACGCAGCUGAUACCUGGUGCUCAACCACCCACCCUGAUGGAGGGCGAACAGGGCUCUGCCGUAGCCCACAGGCUGGGCUUUGUGCUUCUGGUCUGGAUGAGGGAAGUGCAUGCAGCCCAGACUGCAGGGCUGGGAGAUGAUGGGCAGGAUUCGCUGAGCCCCGGGACAGCCCAGAAGGUCGGGUCCAGCAGCUGCUGCCAUGAGCGCUCUUUGUAAAGGGAGUCAGAUCUCCUGGGAUCUCAGUUCUGUUGGGGCCAGCCGGGGAGUCUCAGGAGGAGAAACACCUGGGUGCCCCUGGUCUCAGACUUGACCAUGAGGAGUUUGGCUCACGUCGUCUAUCACACAAACCCCAAUCUGGAUGAACACCUCACCCUGUCCCCCAUACCCGAGGGUCACAGUGCAGUUCAGUCAGUUGUGUUCAACUCUUUGCAACCCCAUGAACCGCAGCACUCCAGGCCUCCCUGUCCACCACCAACUCCCGGAGCUUGCUCAAACUCAUGUCCAUCGAGUCGGUGAUGCCAUCCAGCCAUCUCAUCCUGUGUCGUCCCCUUCUCCUCCCGCCUUCAAUCUUUCCCAGCACCAAGGUCUUUUCCAAUGAGUCAGUUCUUCGCAUCAGGCGGCCAAAGGAUGGAGUCACAGUACACCCAGUGAAAUGGCGCCUCCCCCAGGGGCCUGGGCAGGAGUGACAUUGUGAUUAAGAAUGGCCUUGAUUAUGUAAGCUCAUCAUGUAACAUAUAUCUGAAACA